Molecule: ribosomal RNA, 497 nt
Filed under: uncultured bacterium
Lineage: Bacteria
Description: partial 16S ribosomal RNA
Rfam family: Bacterial small subunit ribosomal RNA
Source: RNAcentral
GAUGAACGCUGGCGGCGCGCCUAAUACAUGCAAGUCGAACGAACAGACGUGGAUUUCGUUCUUGUUACGGUAUAGGCGGACGGGGGAGGAAUACGUGGCUAAUCUGUGUAUAAGCCUGAGAUAAGUUCUAAAAACCGGAGCCAGUGUCUGAUUAUAGGUAGGACUGCAGGGUGCAACAUGUGAAGGCGGUCUUUCUUCUACUGGUAGGGGGUUCGCUCCCGCACUAUCUAGUUGGUAGGGUAGCGGCUUACCAAGGCAACGAUGCGUAGCCGACCUGAGAGGGUGAGCGGCCAGACUGGAACUGAGACACGGUCCAGACUCCUACGGGAGGCAGCAGUAGGGAGUGUUCCGCAAUGGGCGAAAGCCUGGCGGAGCAACGCGGCGUGAGUGAAGAAGGUCUUCGGAUCGUAAAACACUCUCCUUAGGGAAGAAAGGAAGUGUACGUAACUAUGCACGUGUUGAGGGUAUCGAAUCAGAAAGCCCCGGCUAACUCCGUG